GCCCCUGUAGCCUAAUGGAUAAGGCAUC
Molecule: small RNA, 28 nt
Filed under: Bombyx mori (domestic silkworm)
Lineage: Eukaryota; Metazoa; Arthropoda; Insecta; Lepidoptera; Bombycidae
Description: ovarian small RNA-16647
Source: RNAcentral